RNAcentral lists this long non-coding RNA (583 nucleotides) under Salmo salar (Atlantic salmon). Its description in RNAcentral is "lncRNA (ENSSSAG00000091957.1)". The record is from RNAcentral. Lineage: Eukaryota; Metazoa; Chordata; Actinopteri; Salmoniformes; Salmonidae.
CUACUCUCUAUAGACUAGGGCUCUCUACAGAAGUAGGUCUCUACUCUCUAUAGACUAGGGGUCUCUCCAGAAGGAGGUCUCUACUCUCUAUAGACUAGGGCUCUCUCCAGAAGGAGGUCUCUACUCUCUAUAGACUAGGGGUCUCUCCAGAAGGAGGUCUCUACUCUCUACACAAGGAGAGCUCUACUCUCUAUAGACUAUGGGUCUCUCCAGAAGGAGGUCUCUACUCUCUAUAGACUAGGGCUCUCUACAGAAGGAGGUCUCUACUCUCUAUAGACUAGGGCUCUCUCCAGAAGGAGGUCUCUACUCUCUAUAGACUAGGGCUCUCUACAGAAUGAGGUCUCUACUCUCUAUAGACUAGGGGUCUCUACAGAAGGAGGUCUCUACUCUCUAUAGACUAGGGCUCUCUACAGAAGGUCUUUACCCUCUACACAAGGAGAGCUCUACUCUCUAUAGACUAGGGCUCUCUACAGAAGGAGGUCUCUGCUCUCUAUAGAAGUAGGUCUGUACUCUCUAUAGACUAGGGGUCUCUACAGAAGGAGGUCUCUACUCUCUAUAGACUAGGGGUCUCUCCAGAAGGAGG